UCCCUGGUGGUCCAGUGGCUAGGACUCUGCACUCCCAAAGCAGGGACUUUGGGUUCGAUCCCCUGUCAGGGAA
RNAcentral lists this transfer RNA (73 nucleotides) under Ovis aries (sheep). It matches the Rfam family "tRNA". From Rfam's summary of the family: Transfer RNA (tRNA) molecules are approximately 80 nucleotides in length. Their secondary structure includes four short double-helical elements and three loops (D, anti-codon, and T loops). Lineage: Eukaryota; Metazoa; Chordata; Mammalia; Artiodactyla; Bovidae. The record is from Rfam by way of RNAcentral.